Molecule: ribosomal RNA, 484 nt
Filed under: uncultured bacterium
Lineage: Bacteria
Description: partial 16S ribosomal RNA
Rfam family: Bacterial small subunit ribosomal RNA
Source: RNAcentral
AUUGAACGCUGGCGGCAGGCCUAACACAUGCCAGUCGAGCGGAUGAAGGGAGCUUGCUCCUGGAUUCAGCGGCGGACGGGUGAGUAAUGCCUAGGAAUCUGCCUGGUAGUGGGGGAUAACGUCCGGAAACGGGCGCUAAUACCGCAUACGUCCUGAGGGAGAAAGUGGGGGAGCUUCGGACCUCACGCUAUCAGAUGAGCCUAGGUCGGAUUAGCUAGUUGGUGGGGUAAAGGCCUACCAAGGCGACGAUCCGUAACUGGUCUGAGAGGAUGAUCAGUCACACUGGAACUGAGACACGGUCCCGACUCCUACGGGAGGAAGCAGUGGGGAAUAUUGGACAAUGGGCGAAAGCCUGAUCCAGCCAUGCCGCGUGUGUGAAGAAGGUCUUCGGAUUGUAAAGCACUUUAAGUUGGGAGGAAGGGCAGUAAGUUAAUACCUUGCUGUUUUGACGUUACCAACAGAAUAAGCACCGGCUAACUUCGUG